This 76-nucleotide transfer RNA is filed under the name Candidatus Shapirobacteria bacterium CG09_land_8_20_14_0_10_38_17. RNAcentral describes it as "tRNA-Ala". It matches the Rfam family "tRNA". Rfam says of the family: Transfer RNA (tRNA) molecules are approximately 80 nucleotides in length. Their secondary structure includes four short double-helical elements and three loops (D, anti-codon, and T loops). The record is from RNAcentral. Lineage: Bacteria; Candidatus Shapironibacteriota.
GGGCCGUUAGCUCAUCUGGUAGAGCGCACCCUUCGCAUGGGUGAGGCGGCCGGUUCGAUUCCGGCACGGUCCACCA